This 465-nucleotide ribosomal RNA is filed under the name uncultured bacterium. RNAcentral describes it as "bacterial SSU rRNA". It matches the Rfam family "Bacterial small subunit ribosomal RNA", at positions 338 to 795 of the family's 1533-position model. The record is from RNAcentral.
CCUACGGGUCGCAGCAGUGGGGAAUAUUGCACAAUGGGCGCAAGCCUGAUGCAGCCAUGCCGCGUGUAUGAAGAAGGCCCUCGGGUUGUAAAGUACUUUCAGCGGGGAGGAAGGCGAUAAGGUUAAUAACCUUGUCGAUUGACGUUACCCGCAGAAGAAGCACCGGCUAACUCCGUGCCAGCAGCCGCGGUAAUACGGAGGGUGCAAGCGUUAAUCGGAAUUACUGGGCGUAAAGCGCACGCAGGCGGUCUGUCAAGUCGGAUGUGAAGUCCCCGGGCUCAACCUGGGAACUGCAUUCGAAACUGGCAGGCUAGAGUCUUGUAGAGGGGGGUAGAAUUCCAGGUGUAGCGGUGAAAUGCGUAGAGAUCUGGAGGAAUACCGGUGGCGAAGGCGGCCCCCUGGACAAAGACUGACGCUCAGGUGCGAAAGCGUGGGGAGCAAGCAGGAUUAGAUACCCCGGUAGUC